GGUUCAGGAUUAACGCUGGCGGCGUGCCUAAUACAUGCAAGUCGAAUGGUAGCAAUACCAUGGCGAACGGGUGAGGUAACACGUAGGUAACCUGUCUUUAAGACGAGGAUAACCGUUGGAAACGACGGAUAAUACUCGAUAGGUGAUUUGAGGGCAUCCUUGGAUCAUUAAAGAUUUAUCACUUAGAGAGGGGCCUGCGGCGCAUUAGCUAGAUGGCGGUGUAAUGGACCACCAUGGCGAUGAUGCGUAGCCGGACUGAGAGGUUGAACGGCCACAAUGGAACUGAGAACGGUCCAUACUCCUACGGGAGGCAGCAGUAGGGAAUUUUCGGCAAUGGGCGAAAGCCUGAACCCGAGCAACGCCGCGUGAACGAAGAAGUAUUUCGGUAUGUAAAGUUCUUUUAUCGGGGAAGAAAAUAUUCAAAUUGACGGUACCUGAUGAAUAAGCUCCGGCUAACUACGUGCCAGCCGCCGC
This 474-nucleotide ribosomal RNA is filed under the name uncultured bacterium. Its description in RNAcentral is "bacterial SSU rRNA". It matches the Rfam family "Bacterial small subunit ribosomal RNA", at positions 21 to 518 of the family's 1533-position model. The record is from RNAcentral.